RNAcentral lists this ribosomal RNA (380 nucleotides) under uncultured Anaerolineae bacterium. Its description in RNAcentral is "partial 16S ribosomal RNA". It matches the Rfam family "Bacterial small subunit ribosomal RNA", at positions 338 to 734 of the family's 1533-position model. The record is from RNAcentral. Lineage: Bacteria; Bacillati; Chloroflexota; Anaerolineae.
CCUACGGGAGGCAGCAGUGAGGAAUAUUGAGCAAUGGGCGCAAGCCUGACUCAGCAACGCCGCGUGGGCGAUGAAGGCCUUCGGGUUGUAAAGCCCUUUUCUGGGGGACGAGGAAGGACGGUACCCCAGGAAUAAGUCACGGCUAACUACGUGCCAGCAGCCGCGGUAACACGUAGGUGGCGAGCGUUAUCCGGAUUCACUGGGCGUAAAGCGCGUGCAGGCGGUUCCGUAAGUCGGACGUGAAAGCUCCGGGCUUAACUGGGAGAGGCCGUUCGAUACUGCGGGGCUUGAGGUCGGGAGAGGGACGUGGAAUUCCUGGGGUAGUGGUGGAAUGCGUAGAGAUCGGGAGGAACACCAGAGGCGAGGGCGGCUCUCUAUGC